UACAGAGGGUGCGAGCAUUAAUCGGAAUUACUGGGCGUAAAGCGCACGUAGGCGGCUUGGUAUGUCGGGUGUGAAAUCCCCGGGCUCAACCUGGGAACUGCAUCCGAAACUGCCUUGCUCGAGUAUGGGAGAGGGAAGUGGAAUUUCCGGUGUAGCGGUGAAAUGCGUAGAUAUCGGAAGGAACAUCAGUGGCGAAGGCGACUUCCUGGACCAAUACUGACGCUCAGGUGCGAAAGCGUGGGGAGCAAACAGG
This 253-nucleotide ribosomal RNA is filed under the name uncultured bacterium. RNAcentral's name for it is "partial 16S ribosomal RNA". It matches the Rfam family "Bacterial small subunit ribosomal RNA", at positions 524 to 776 of the family's 1533-position model. The record is from RNAcentral.